CCUACGGGAGGCUGCAGUGGGGAAUAUUGGACAAUGGGCGAAAGCCUGAUCCAGCCAUGCCGCGUGUGUGAAGAAGGCCUUCGGGUUGUAAAGCACUUUCAGUGGGGAAGAAAGCCUUGGGGCUAAUACCCUCGAGGAAGGACAUCACCCACAGAAGAAGCACCGGCUAACUCCGGGCCAGCAGCCGCGGUAAUACGGAGGGUGCGAGCGUUAAUCGGAAUUACUGGGCGUAAAGCGCGCGUAGGCGGUCUGAUAAGCCGGUUGUGAAAGCCCCGGGCUCAACCUGGGAACGGCAUCCGGAACUGUCAGGCUAGAGUGCAGGAGAGGAAGGUAGAAUUCCCGGUGUAGCGGUGAAAUGCGUAGAGAUCGGGAGGAAUACCAGUGGCGAAGGCGGCCUUCUGGACUGACACUGACGCUGAGGUGCGAAAGCGUGGGUAGCAAACAGGAUUAGAUACCCCAGUAGUC
This 465-nucleotide ribosomal RNA is filed under the name Vreelandella stevensii. RNAcentral's name for it is "partial 16S ribosomal RNA". It matches the Rfam family "Bacterial small subunit ribosomal RNA", at positions 338 to 795 of the family's 1533-position model. The record is from RNAcentral. Lineage: Bacteria; Pseudomonadati; Pseudomonadota; Gammaproteobacteria; Oceanospirillales; Halomonadaceae.